GGCUUGGCGGUGAGGGAUGGGGAUGCGUCCGAUUAGCCAGACGGCGGGGUAACGGCCCACCGUGGCGACGAUCGGUAGGGGUUCUGAGAGGAAGGUCCCCCACACUGGAACUGAGACACGGUCCAGACUCCUACGGGAGGCAGCAGUGAGGAAUAUUGGUCAAUGGGCGUAAGCCUGAACCAGCCAAGUAGCGUGCAGGACGACGGCCCUAUGGGUUGUAAACUGCUUUUAUGCGGGGAUAAAGUGGCCCACGUGUGGGUUUUUGCAGGUACCGCAUGAAUAAGGACCGGCUAAUUCCGUGCCAGCAGCCGCGGUAAUACGGAAGGUCCGGGCGUUAUCCGGAUUUAUUGGGUUUAAAGGGAGCGUAGGCCGCGCCUUAAGCGUGUUGUGAAAUCCGGGUGCUCAACAUCCGGCUUGCAGCGCGAACUGGGGCGCUUGAGUGCGCAGAAAGUAGGCGGAAUUCGUGGUGUAGCGGUGAAAUGCUUAGAUAUCACGAGGAACUCCGAUUGCGAAGGCAGCCUACUGUAGCGCUACUGACGCUGAUGCUCGAAAGCGUGGGUAUCGAACAGGAUUAGAUACCCUGGUAGUCCACGCGGUAAACGAUGGAUGCUCGUUGUCGGCCCUUUGGGUCGGUGACCAAGCGAAAGCGUUAAGCAUCCCACCUGGGGAGUACGCCGGCAACGGUGAAACUCAAAGGAAUUGACGGG
This 707-nucleotide ribosomal RNA is filed under the name uncultured bacterium. Its description in RNAcentral is "bacterial SSU rRNA". It matches the Rfam family "Bacterial small subunit ribosomal RNA", at positions 209 to 917 of the family's 1533-position model. The record is from RNAcentral.